Molecule: long non-coding RNA, 3105 nt
Filed under: Sus scrofa (pig)
Lineage: Eukaryota; Metazoa; Chordata; Mammalia; Artiodactyla; Suidae
Description: lncRNA (ENSSSCG00000057948.1)
Source: RNAcentral
CUAAUAAAUGAUUAGUGAUAUCAUUUAUUAUGCUAGUAAAGGAAUAUAUUAAAAAUACUAAUAAAUAAUCCAAGAAUAUAUUAAAAUAAUCCAUUACAAUCCAGGAAUAUAUUAAAAUAAUCCAUUACAAUCAAGUUGACAGAAACCUCUAUGUAGAUAAAGGGUUAACAAAAGCCUUUCCCCUUCUGCAUGAGAAUUUGACCUUAUGUUAACUUUUUAGCACUGUUCCCCUGGCAACCUGAUAAGGUGAUUUGCGAACUAUGUUGCUAUGUUGCUGGUAAAAAAGGAUGGGCUUCUGCUUGGUAAACCACAUUUAGAAAAAGAGAGAGAGCCAAGUAUGCCUGAUGGCAAACCACAGCAUUGGACCAGUCUGAGUUCAGUGCCUUUUAUAACUGGGCAUGCCCCUUGCAUAGACCUUGGACAAUAUGCCAAUGAGAUAGAUGGAAUUGAAAAUGGAUCACUGUUGGUUGAAUCUGCAGAUGUGGGGGGACCCACAGAUAUAGCAGAGCCAACUGAACUACACCAUUUUAUUUAAGGAACUUGAGCAUCUGUAGAUUUUGAUCUCCAUGGGGGUCUUGGAAUCAAUCCCCUGCAAAUAUAGAGGAACAACUCUACUGGCAAUGAUUCUCAUCCAUCUUCAAAUAAUUCUGUAAAGACAAUGGAAGACUAUUUGAUGGGCCUUUAAUUCUAUUUAAUAGUACUUGAAUUGAAAUAGACAUGAAUCAGUGACCAACAAAUUUAGAAAGCUGUCUCAAGAGUUAUUAAAUUGUUGUGUUUAGUCUCCUACCUUUCAGCUCUUUUAAAUUUGUAUCUUAAUGAUCUGAUACAAAUUUUUAAAAAAUUUUUAUUCAUAUUUUUAUGUAUGAAAGAAAGAUUCAUCUAUGUUGACAAUAAAUUUUUAGAAUCACAAAAGCAGGGGUGGUAACACUAAUCAGCUUCUUUAACGCAUUUACCCCCAAUAUCUUUGGCUUAACACAAUUAAAUUCCUUUUGUUAGUACAAAAAUUUAAUGCAGGUUGGACAGCUCUCCUAAAUGAUCCUUUGCAAGUGGCUAUUCAGGGAUCUGGGCUCCUUCCAUCCAGUAGUUUUGUCUUCCUGGAGUUCUCCUGUAGCCACAUGGAGAGAGAGAAUCCAGUCAAUCACACCUGGGAAUUUGUGGCACUAUACUGGCCAUACCUAGUUACAUGGCUCCAACUUUACUGCAAGAGAAUUUGAAAAAUAUAUAGUUCCAUGUGUCAAGAACAAAAGUGAAAAUUUUUAAUUGAAUUCUAGCACUGUCUUUAUCAUAGCCUCAAGAAAGGAGCCAACUUGGAGUUCCCAUUGUGACUCAGUAGUAUUGAACCUAACUGCUAUCCAUGAGGAUGAGGGUUUGAUCCCUGGUCUUGAUCAGUGGGUUAAGGAUCCAGCAUUACCAUGAACUGUGGUGUGGGUCACAGACAGAGCUCGUUUCUGUGUUGCUGUGGCUGUGGCACAGGCUGGCAGUUGCAGCUCUGACUUGACCCCUAGCCUGGGAACCAACAUAUGCCGCAGGUACAGCCCUAAAAAGAAAAAAAGAAAUGAGUCAACUUAGUAUUUAAUUACUUCCAGAAAAAAAGCUUAACACUAUGAUAUCACUGAAAAAUCAUAGUACUUGAAAAUCAUUUUCCAAAAUUCACUUCAUCUUUGAUUUUCAUCAUACAGUAAGUCAAUAUAUUUCUCUGGGAAUUCUUAACAUAUAACUCACUCAAUUAGAUUAAGUAAAUUGUAUAAAGUACCUAGUCAAGCGUAUAUACAUGUAGUAAGUGCUCAACAAAUACUAUCUCCUCAACUCAAAGGAAGGUUUUACUGCCGGGAAGGUUUUAAUGCUUCUCUAAGAUUUUCUCUAUAUCCAAAAUAGGCAAUUAUCAACACUUGCUUUAAGCUUUUCCAUGCCUAAUCCAUCUCUGACAAUACUGUGCUGGGAAUCUUGAAUCUCAAUUUAGGUUUAUCAAAGUAUUUGAGUAAAUUCAGUUGUCUAAAAUCCUCUUGCAUCUCACUGUCACAUGGGGGAAAUACUAGUUAAGCUUUUCACUGGUCAUAAUAAAUUAUUGAGUUACUCUUUUUGGUCUCUGAAACAUGGAUCUGUUCUCAAGCAACAUGGAAAACCAAUUCUUUAGGCAAAACUUUAGUGCUUGUAAAAAUACUUGUUAAAAUAAAUGAUAUUUACAGAAUCCAGUCCAGGUAGGGAAUGUGCUAUAUAACAACUCAUCUGGAUUUCCCAAGUAUUAACCUUGGAUCAAGUUAGUCUCUUGGAACUUAACUUAGAAGCUGGCAGGCUCUUCUCUCUCUCUCUUUUUAAAAUCUAUUUUUUUAAAAGCUUUAUUAAAGUAUAGAUGAUUUACAAGGUUGUUUUAAUUUCUGCUGUACAACAAAGUGUUUCAGUUAUACAUGUACACACAGCCAUUCUUUCAAAUUAUUUUUCUGCAUCCACAUAGACUAUCAGAGAAUAUUGGGUAGAGUUCUCUGUGCUAUAAAGCAAAUCCCUGUUGGCCAUCAUUCCAUAUACCUCACUGGCAAUAUUCCAAUUCCCAAGCCUAUCCUGUCCUCUUCGUAAUAAGUUUUUCAAAGUCUAUUUGUCUGUUUCUAUUCUGCAAAUAAAUUCAUUUGUAUCCUUUUCUUAGAUUAUACAUAUAAGUGAUAUCAUAUGAUGUUUGUCUUUCACUGUCUAACUUCACUUAGUAUGAUAAUUUCUAGGUCCAUACUUGUUGCUGCAAAUGCCAUUAUUUAUUUUUUUAUGGCUGAUUAAUAUUCCAUUAUACACAUCUUUCUUAUUCAUUCUUCUGUCAAUGGACAUUUAGGUUGCUUCCAUAUCUUGGCUAUUAUAAACAGUACUGCAGGAGUUCCCGUCGUGGCGCAGUGGUUAACGAAUCCGACUAGGAACCAUGAGGUUGCGGGUUCAGUCCUGCCCUUGCUCAGUGGGUUAACGAUCCGGCGUUGCCAUGAGCUGUGGUGUAGGUUGCAGACGCGGCUCGGAUCCCGCGUUGCUGUGGCUCUGGCGUAGGCCGGUGGCUACAGCUCCGAUUGGACCCCUAGCCUGGGAACCUCCAUAUGCCGCGGGAGUGGCCCAAGAAAUAGCAACAACAACAAC